CCCUUAGAUGUCCUGGGCUGCACGCGCGCUAAACUGAUGUGUCCAGUAAGCACCUAACCUAUUCCGAGAGGAGCGGGUAACCUUAGCAAAGCACAUCGUGAUGGGGAUAGAUUAUUGCAAUUAUUAGUCUUGAACGAGGAAUUCCUAGUAAGCACAAGUCAUCAGCUUGUGUUGAUUACGUCCCUGCCCUUUGUACACACCGCCCGUCGCUCCUACCGAUUGAAUGUUCCGGUGAGCUCUUCGGACUGCGCGGUCUGCAGUUUCUGCGUUCCGUGCGGAAAGUUGUGCAAACCUUAACAUUUAGAGGAAGGAGAAGUCGUAACA
This 324-nucleotide ribosomal RNA is filed under the name uncultured eukaryote. RNAcentral's name for it is "partial 18S ribosomal RNA". It matches the Rfam family "Eukaryotic small subunit ribosomal RNA", at positions 1470 to 1796 of the family's 1831-position model. The record is from RNAcentral.